AGGAUUCCCCUAGUAACUGCGAGUGAAGCGGGAAAAGCUCAAAUUUAAAAUCUGGCGGUCUUUGGCCGUCCGAGUUGUAAUCUAGAGAAGUGCUAUCCGCGCUGGACCGUGUACAAGUCUCCUGGAAUGGAGCGUCAUAGAGGGUGAGAAUCCCGUCUUUGACACGGACUGCCAGGGCUUUGUGAUGUGCUCUCAAAGAGUCGAGUUGUUUGGGAAUGCAGCUCAAAAUGGGUGGUAAAUUCCAUCUAAAGCUAAAUAUUGGCGAGAGACCGAUAGCGAACAAGUACCGUGAGGGAAAGAUGAAAAGAACUUUGGAAAGAGAGUUAAACAGUACGUGAAAUUGCUGAAAGGGAAACGCUUGAAGUCAGUCGCGUUGGCCGGGGAUCAACCUUGCUUUUGCUGGGUGUACUUUCCGGUUGACGGGUCAGCAUCAAUUUUGACYGUUGGAUAAAGUCUGUGGGAAUGUGGCUUCUUCGGAAGUGUUAUAGCCCAUGGUCGCAUACAACGGUUGGGAUUGAGGAACUCAGCACGCCGCAAGGCCGGGUAUUUAUACCACGUUCGUGCUUAGGAUGCUGGCAUAAUGGCUUUAAUCGACCCGUCUUGAAACACGGACCAAGGAGUCUAACAUGCCUGCGAGUGUUUGGGUGGAAAACCCGAGCGCGUAAUGAAAGUGAAAGUUGAGAUCCCUGUCGUGGGGAGCAUCGACGCCCGGACCAGACCUUUUGUGACGGAUCCGCGGUAGAGCAUGUAUGUUGGGACCCGAAAGAUGGUGAACUAUGCCUGAAUAGGGUGAAGCCAGAGGAAACUCUGGUGGAGGCUCGUAGCGAUUCUGACGUGCAAAUCGAUCGUCAAAUUUGGGUAUAGGGGCGAAAGACUAAUCGAA
RNAcentral lists this ribosomal RNA (883 nucleotides) under Psilocybe keralensis. RNAcentral describes it as "LSU rRNA". It matches the Rfam family "Eukaryotic large subunit ribosomal RNA", at positions 71 to 939 of the family's 3401-position model. Lineage: Eukaryota; Fungi; Basidiomycota; Agaricomycetes; Agaricales; Agrocybaceae. The record is from RNAcentral.